RNAcentral lists this long non-coding RNA (435 nucleotides) under Homo sapiens (human). Its description in RNAcentral is "HSALNT0196884". Lineage: Eukaryota; Metazoa; Chordata; Mammalia; Primates; Hominidae. The record is from RNAcentral.
CUACCAUCAGAGGUAAAAGCUCACUGCUUUCCUUUGUUCCUUCUGCUCUUGUGAUCUUGAUUGACACGAGUGGCACCCUUCUGCAGAAGUAAAUUGCCUAGCUUAGAGAACUUCUGCCUGAGUGCUGGUUUCACUUUGCUGCACCAAGCAUUUAUUCCUAGAACAUUUUUAUAUUCAGCAAUUCUGGGGGCUCAUCCGGGAUCCCCAUUCUCCUUCAAGAAGGGGUCUUCAGUCACCCUACCCAGGGGAGAUGUGUCCCACUGCCCCAUUGUGGUGGCCUCAGGGAGGGGAGAUCAAGACCCACCCGUUGUUAUGAAUAAACUUGGACUCUCAGCAACACGGGGAGGAGAGGCUUGCAGUAUCGUGGCGACCAGCUAAACUCUGUGCACAGACCAAGGUGGACUCAUUCUUGUUGGCUGCUGUGUUAUACCAUGC